UGGUCAAGUUAUUAAGGGUGCAGGGCGGAUGCCUUGGCACUAGGAGCCGAUGAAGGACGUGAUAAGCUGCGAUAAGCUUCGGGGAGUUGCACGUAAACUUUGAUCCGAAGAUUUCCGAAUGAGGAAACUCACUUAGAGUAAUGUCUAAGUAUCAUUAAGUGAAUACAUAGCUUAAUGAGGGGAACUCAGGGAACUGAAACAUCUAAGUACCUGAAGGAAGAGAAAGAAAUUCGAUUCCGUAAGUAGCGGCGAGCGAACGCGGAUUAGCCCAAACCAAUAAAGUUUUCUUUAUUGGGGUUGCGGACAUAUCAUAACGAAGAGGUAUCGUAAUUGAAGAGGUUUGGAAAGACCCACCACAGAAGGUAAUAGUCCUGUAUGUUAAACGAGAAGACUUUAGAUAUGAUCCAGAGUACCACGGGACACGUGAAACCCUGUGGGAAGCAGGAGGGACCACCCUCCAAGGCUAAAUACUACCUAGUGACCGAUAGCGUAUAGUACCGUGAGGGAAAGGUGAAAAGAACCCCGGGAGGGGAGUGAAAUAGAACCUGAAACCCUGCACUUACAAGCUGUGGAAGCACAUUUCUUGUGUGACCGCGUACUUUUUGUAGAACGGGCCAACGAGUUACGUUAAGUAGCAAGGUUAAGCACUUAAGGUGCGGAGCCGUAGCGAAAGCGAGUUUUAACUGAGCGUUCAGUUACUUGACGUAGACCCGAAACCGGGCGACCUACCCAUGAGCAGGAUGAAGCGAAAGUAAAAUUUCGUGGAGGUCCGAACCCACGAGCGUUGAAAAGCUCGGGGAUGACUUGUGGGUAGCGGUGAAAUUCCAAUCGAGCCCGGAGAUAGCUGGUUCUCCCCGAAAUAGCUUUAGGGCUAGCCUCAAGGUGAGAGAUACGGAGGUAGAGCACUGAAUGUCCUAGGGGGUAUUGCACCUACCGAAGACUAUCAAACUCCGAAUGCCGUCAUCUUAUACUUGGGAGUCAGACUGUGGGUGAUAAGAUUCAUAGUCGAAAGGGCAACAGCCCAGAUCGUCAGCUAAGGUCCCUAAAUGUAAGUUAAGUGGUAAAGGAUGUGGGAUUGCACAGACAACCAGGAUGUUGGCUUAGAAGCAGCCACUCAUUCAAAGAGUGCGUAAUAGCUCACUGGUCGAGUGAUCCUGCGCCGAAGAUUUCCGGGGCUAAAACUUACUACCGAAGCUACGGCAUCAGUAAUGAUGGGUAGGGGAGCUUCCCAUACGGGUUGAAGCAUGACCGUAAGGACAUG
This 1261-nucleotide ribosomal RNA is filed under the name Clostridioides difficile. RNAcentral's name for it is "bacterial LSU rRNA". It matches the Rfam family "Bacterial large subunit ribosomal RNA", at positions 1 to 1273 of the family's 2925-position model. Lineage: Bacteria; Bacillati; Bacillota; Clostridia; Peptostreptococcales; Peptostreptococcaceae. The record is from RNAcentral.